AGUUUUUUCUUCCCCAAUAAAAAGAUAACAAUAACUCUCAACUAUUUAAACUUCAAAGAGAGAUAAUAGAGGCAGAACAGAUAUGGCGUUGGUUGAAUAUUUAGGGCAGAACAAUGAAAUCAAAACAAGAAACUUUAUUUUCUCAGAAUUAAUUCACUGACAAAUUGAGAAAAGCUGGUAUUGGGAGUUUGGGACUGGAUUUUGCCACCAGGUGCAAAGAACUCGGACACCGCAGAAUGACAACAAAAAAGAAAAGGAUUCAGCAAUAUAGAAGAAACUAGACAAGCUAGAUAACAACGCAAAAGACAAUUAAUCAAAUCUUCGAUUCCUCUUUCUUUCAGAAAGCCAUAAAAAAGCCAUUGUAGAAUGAAAAAGAGACGAGAGGAUG
Molecule: long non-coding RNA, 388 nt
Organism: Papaver somniferum (opium poppy)
Lineage: Eukaryota; Viridiplantae; Streptophyta; Magnoliopsida; Ranunculales; Papaveraceae
Exons: 3
Source: RefSeq, a predicted model, not a curated record